ACGAGUGGACUAUCUCGGGAGCCCGUGGGCUAGCUGGGUGCCCCUGCAAGCUCACGGAGAAGACACAGAAGAGCCAGGUGACAGACGGACAGGCGGGACUCGGACUAUGCACACAGGCAGGGGAGAAUGGAAGUGGGGGGCUUAGGAGGCUUGGGGAUGCAGACCUCUGCUUUCAGCAGCCACUGCACUGUGGUUUCCUCUCCAGGGCUCGGUCCCCACGUGGGAGCUUCCGGAGCCUGGUACAAAUGCAGACCAUGGGCGCCAUGGACUUUGACUUGAAGAGAAAGUGCAGGUCUUGAGAGAGAGGAACUGAAAAACCAAGAAGACAGCUGGUGAGAGAAGAGAAGGGAGAAGACGACGUGGCUGUCAGGGUGCAGGGGACACCCAAGUUAAGAGUUAAGACAAAGAUGAGGAACAAGGUGAGGCCAGAAUCCAGGAAGGAGCUACCGAGGGCCAGGUGGGGGUUGACGGAUCCAAGGAAGGAGAGCAAGGCCUUGAUAAGAUGCGGUGGGCCCAGAGGAGGGGCGAGGUCAGGUGAGCUGGAAUGGUCAGCUCUUUGUGGAACGAAUGACUCUGUACUGCUGAGCCGCAAGAUUUGGAGUUGCUGUCAACUUCGAGGCAACUGUUAAACCAGGGAGCUGCCAAAUAUUUUCAAGGGAUGACCAGGCCAGGAGUCUGAAGACUGAGAAGUAUGCAUUCUGGAUAAAUUGAAAAUUGGUAAGAAAAUAGGAGGGGAUCCGUUUUUCUUAGAGGAUCAAGCUUGGAAAGUCCCUCCUUCUGAUUGAGAAUAAAAAAAGGGAUUUGGUUUAUUGCAGCUCCCACACUAGCAGGCUGCUUUGCGUCUUCCAGUUUUAGUCAUUGACAGGUUCUGCCUCAGACACUUCCUACAACAUUACCAUCUUAUUCGGGUUUCCCCAUAGAAUCAUUCACUGCAAAACAGCCACUUAACAUGGUCCUGCCUGCCUCCCAGGAGUGUCAAAAGAAAAUAUGAUCCCAUGGAAAAGGUCUCCGUUUUUUUUUUUUAAAUAAAAUUUCACUCAAGAACAUACCCAUGGAUUUAUUUAAUCUCCUUAAUAUAAAUAAAUUAUGUUAAGAUUGUAUUAGUCUCAUGAAUAUGCAAUCACAACAAAUUACCUUGCAGAAGUCCAAGCUAGUCAAAUUUGCUCUCCUGGUGAAUCCAGGAGCUCUCUCUUGUUCAAGAAUGAGAGAGACAAUUGUCCUGUCCUCCCUUAGCCUUGGCCUUGGCCUUGGGAGGCUGAGACUCUGGCCAGCUUGAGUGAUGCGGAUCCUGAGAGCACUCCCGGGUAGGCAUUUGCCCCGGUGGAAUGCCUCGUCAGGGCAGUGCACAGCAGACACCGCGGAGGAUCCACACAGGGGCUGAACACCGGGAAGGAGCUGGCGCUUUAAGUCUGGACAUCUGAAACUUGAUGAGAUAUAGAGGCUCAGAGAAGCAGUAUUAACCUGGCACCAAAGUCUCCUAGCUCUUCUGGGGCCAGGCCCGGGAAAGAGGUGAGAAUGGACACCUGGCACCGACUGCUAGCCCCAGUGACUCUUAUUUUCUUAGCCCCGAAUCACACACAUCAUCUGACCCACCGUUUCAGCAAGUGUGGAACAUCCUGGACUCUUGGAUGUACUGCUGCAUCUUCCAGAGAGUGAGGUGUUCGGUUGCCCUCCUGAGAGCUGAACAGCCUGGCAUGAAGGCAGGGACUGUGUACUGUGCCGCUGUACCAGAGCUGGGAGGUACCCAGAGUUGUGGAAUGAAUGAAUACAUUCACAGGCCCACAGGAAGACUGCAAGAGCUCAACUUGAGUUGAACAAGGAGGUUACCUAAGCCCUCAGAACUGCUGCUAAUUCUCCCGGCAGAAGGAGACGACUGUCGGAAACUAGGAGGUGCUCGGUGAUAAUGGAAUAAAGGUUUUCUCUCUGCAGAGCUGUCUGGACCACACAGGGGUCACACUUAGAUCUGAUCAUAACAUAGCUCCACCUGGACAAAUUGUUUCACCCAACCCUCUUUCCAGCUUGAAUCACAUCAUUACCUUUAAGAAUUUCCAUUCGUUUUAGUUUCCUGCUAACUGACAUCUUCACUAUAUAAAAUACUGGUAUAAAAAUACUGUGUACCAAGAUUUGAUACAACUAGCAAAUGUUCAUUGGUUUACAACAAACC
Molecule: long non-coding RNA, 2164 nt
Organism: Macaca mulatta (Rhesus monkey)
Lineage: Eukaryota; Metazoa; Chordata; Mammalia; Primates; Cercopithecidae
Source: RefSeq, a predicted model, not a curated record